UUUCCAGACUCCUACGGGAGGCAGCAGUGGGGGAUAUUGCACAAUGGGGGAAACCCUGAUGCAGCGACGCCGCGUGUGGGAAGACGGUCUUCUGGAUUGUAAACCACUGUCCCCAGGGACGAAAAUGACGGUACCUGACUAAGAAGCCCCGGCUAACUACGUGCCAGCAGCCGCGGUAAUACGUAGGGGGCAAGCGUUAUCCGGAUUUACUGGGUGUAAAGGGAGCGUAGACGGCUGUGCAAGCCAGAUGUGAAAGCCCGGGGCUCAACCCCGGGACUGCAUUUGGAACUGUGUGGCUGGAGUGUCGGAGAGGCAGGCGGAAUUCCUAGUGUAGCGGUGAAAUGCGUAGAUAUUAGGAGGAACACCAGUGGCGAAGGCGGCCUGCUGGACGAUGACUGACGUUGAGGCUCGAAAGCGUGGGGAGCAAACAGGAUUAGAUACCCCAGUA
This 448-nucleotide ribosomal RNA is filed under the name uncultured bacterium. RNAcentral describes it as "bacterial SSU rRNA". It matches the Rfam family "Bacterial small subunit ribosomal RNA", at positions 328 to 792 of the family's 1533-position model. The record is from RNAcentral.